This 253-nucleotide ribosomal RNA is filed under the name uncultured bacterium. RNAcentral's name for it is "partial 16S ribosomal RNA". It matches the Rfam family "Bacterial small subunit ribosomal RNA", at positions 524 to 776 of the family's 1533-position model. RNAcentral also lists the same sequence under 1 other name. The record is from RNAcentral.
UACGGAGGAUGCAAGCGUUAUCCGGAAUUAUUGGGCGUAAAGCGUCCGCAGGUGGCUCAUCAAGUCUGCUGUCAAAGGCAGGGGCUUAACCCCUGAAAGGCAGUGGAAACUGGGGAGCUAGAGUGCAGUAGGGGUAGAGGGAAUUCCCGGUGUAGCGGUGAAAUGCGUAGAGAUCGGGAAGAACAUCGGUGGCGAAAGCGCUCUGCUGGACUGCAACUGACACUAAAGGACGAAAGCUAGGGGAGCGAAUGGG